Molecule: ribosomal RNA, 833 nt
Filed under: uncultured bacterium
Lineage: Bacteria
Description: bacterial SSU rRNA
Rfam family: Bacterial small subunit ribosomal RNA
Source: RNAcentral
AGCGCAAGGGUGCGUAACACGUGGGCAACCUGCCCUGGGGACCGGGAUAGCCCGCCGAAAGGCGGAUUAAUACCGAAUAAGGCUACCGUGAGCAUUCACGGGACGCUAAAGGCGGCGCAAGCUGCCGCUCCGGGAUGGGCCCGCGGCCUAUCAGCUAGUUGGUGAGGUCACGGCUCACCAAGGCGAUGACGGGUAGCUGGUCUGAGAGGACGACCAGCCACACUGGAACUGAGACACGGUCCAGACACCUACGGGUGGCAGCAGUCGAGAAUUUUUCUCAAUGGGCGAAAGCCUGAAGGAGCGACGCCGCGUGGAGGAUGAAGGUUUUCGGAUUGUAAACUCCUGUCAUUGGUGAACAAAGCUGCCGGUUAACUGCCGAGCAGACUGCUAGUAGCCGAAGAGGAAGGGACGGCUAACUCUGUGCCAGCAGCCGCGGUAAUACAGAGGUCCCGAGCGUUGUUCGGAUUCAUUGGGCGUAAAGGGUGCGUAGGCGGCGGGGCAAGUCUGAUGUGAAAUCCCGGGGCUCAACCCCGGAACUGCAUUGGAUACUGCCUUGCUCGAGUACUGGAGAGGGAACUGGAAUUUACGGUGUAGCAGUGAAAUGCGUAGAGAUCGUAAGGAAGGCCAGUGGCGAAGGCGAGUUCCUGGACAGUUACUGACGCUGAGGCACGAAGGCCAGGGGAGCAAACGGGAUUAGAUACCCCGGUAGUCCUGGCAGUAAACGGUGCACGUUUGGUGUGGGAGGAAUCGACCCCUUCCGUGCCGGAGCUAACGCGUUAAACGUGCCGCCUGGGGAGUACGGUCGCAAGAUUAAAACUCAAAGAAAUUGACGG